CCCUUAGAUGUUCUGGGCUGCACGCGCGCUACACUGACACACUCAGCGAGUCACCUGAUCUGAGAAGACCGGGCAAUCAUGUGAGCGUGUGUCGUGAUGGGGAUAGAAUAUUGUAAUUAUUACUCUUCAACGAGGAAUUCCUAGUAAGCGCGAGUCAGCAGCUCGCGCUGAUUACGUCCCUGCCCUUUGUACACACCGCCCGUCGCUCCUACCGAGGGGGUGAUCCGGUGAAUGAUUCGGACUUUGGCAUUGCUAUGUUUCAUAGCAUUGCUGGGGGAAGUCUUGUGAACCUCAUCACUUGGAGGAAGGAGAAGUCGUAACA
RNAcentral lists this ribosomal RNA (322 nucleotides) under uncultured eukaryote. RNAcentral's name for it is "partial 18S ribosomal RNA". It matches the Rfam family "Eukaryotic small subunit ribosomal RNA", at positions 1470 to 1796 of the family's 1831-position model. The record is from RNAcentral.